CCAGACAUGAAGUUAGGUGAGCAAACCCGCUGAAUUUAAGCAUAUAAGUAAGCGGAGGAUAAGAAACUAAAUAGGAUUCCCUCAGUAAUGGCGAAUGAACAGGGAUAAGCUCAGCAUGAGAAUCGGGGCCUGUGGCCUUGAAUUGUAGUCUUGAGUUGUACUACCAAUGGAGGCGCAGAUGUAAGCCUCUUGGAAAAGAGCACCGACGAGGGUGAGAGUCCCGUUUGUCAUCUGCAGUCCCCCAUGCACGGUGUACUUCUAAAGAGUCACGUUCCUCGGGAUUGGAGCGCAAAGUGGGUGGUAAAUUUCAUCUAAAGCUAAAUAUAGGUUCGAGACCGAUAGCAAACAAGUACCAUGAGGGAAAGGUGAAAAGGACUUUGAAAAGAGAGUUAAAAGUGCCUGAAAUUGCUGAAAGGGAAGCGAAUGGAACCAGUGCUUCUUGGCAAGAUUGGUGCGUGCUAUUGUGAUUGCCUGCUGCUUCAGCGCAAGCGUGGUAGUGGGUUUUGAUCAGGACGCGCGUGUUGUUUCUUGCCUUGUGUGUCAACGUCAGUUCUUGAUCGGGGAAAACACCAGGGACAUGGUAGUUUGCCUAUGGGUGAGCGAAUGUGCUUGGUUGAACUCAUUCUUGAACUGAUUCAUGCGUGUCUGGUUGCAGGGGCUUGUGUCCUCAUGACCUUGUGGUGGGUGUAUGCCUGCUGCUCGUGAGUGGGUGACUGGGUCUCCUCCCUGACACAAUGACGAUGACUAAAUGGUUCUAUUCGACCCGUCUUGAAACACGGACCAAGGAGUCUAACAUAUGUGCGAGUUCACGGGCGGGUAAACCUGCUUGCGCAAUGAAAGUGACUGCUGGGAUCUUUGCACCAGCAACCGACCAAUCAAUUGAGAGAGGUUUGAGUAUGAGCAUAUCUGUUAGGACCCGAAAGAUGGUGAACUAUGCGUGGUUAGGGCAAAGUCAGGGGAAACUCUGAUGGAGGCUCGUAGCGAUACUGACGUGCAAAUCGUUCGUCAAAACUGCGUAUAGGGGCGAAAGACUAAUCGAACCAUCUAGUAGCUGGUUCCCUCCG
This 1064-nucleotide ribosomal RNA is filed under the name Heterocapsa circularisquama. Its description in RNAcentral is "partial 28S ribosomal RNA". It matches the Rfam family "Eukaryotic large subunit ribosomal RNA", at positions 1 to 963 of the family's 3401-position model. Lineage: Eukaryota; Dinophyceae; Peridiniales; Heterocapsaceae. The record is from RNAcentral.